This 1236-nucleotide long non-coding RNA is filed under the name Sus scrofa (pig). Its description in RNAcentral is "lncRNA (ENSSSCG00005035114.1)". The record is from RNAcentral. Lineage: Eukaryota; Metazoa; Chordata; Mammalia; Artiodactyla; Suidae.
CGUGUCCCGGAUCAGCUUUCCACAAGCCGUCUGAGCCUGUUUGCACCUCUCGCCAGGGUGAGCACAGAGGCCACUCCAAGAUCCCUCUCUGUGGCGGACACUGGGCUGGGCGCUGGCAAGACAGACCUAAAAGUGACAGAGGUGCUCGAGUCAAGUUGAGGAGUUCCUGUUGUGGUGCAGUGGAAAUGAACCCGACUAGUAUCCAUGAGGACGCAGGUUCGAUCCCUGUUCUCGCUCAGUGGGUCGGGCAGAACAAUUCAACCUUUCCAGGCCCAGUCCCAAAUCCUGCCCAACUUUGCACAGUCCAGCCUGGGAAGGCACAGACACAGAAAGGACCCGUCUUUGAACAGAACUGGCCUUCCUUCCAGGGCAGCCAGCUGACAUUGACCAUGGGCUCCCUCACAGAUCAAAGUGCUAUUUUCAGAACAACGGGGAAAGAAUGCCAAAUACACCCCUCCCAAAAAAAAAACCAUGGAAUUAAGGGAAUUUCUGUUUUACAAGCCACCCGAGUCCUGACUAAGUAAGCUCAGGGCCAGCACCUUGUCCCAGAAGAACAGCUCUGAUAGGGGCUUUCGCCUGUGACAGCAACUUCUGGAGAACCGGUUUAGCCUGGGCUAUCUCCAGUCUCUGUUGACAUCACACCACAUAUCAGAGGGGACCUGGCCCUGACUCUGGCUCCAACAUGUCCUUCCAUGGCGACAUCUGAGUUUUGUCAAGACCCUACUACAUGGAAUCGUAGGAGGUGGGGGAGUUCCAGGGGGAGAAGCAGGUAAGUAAGGAGGGCAUCGUGGAAGAGGUGGCCCUGCUCAGAGGACGGACAGCAAGAACCCCUCAAGGCUGUAAUUAAGAAGACACAUAAUUGCAAGUGUUGGCAAGGAUCUGGAGAACUUGGCGCCCUCAUACCCUGCUGGUGGGAAUAUAAAAUGGCACAGAAAACAGUCUGGCACAUCCUCAAAAAGUUAAGGAGUUCCCGUCAUGGCGUAGGGGUUAACAAAUCCGACUAGGAACCACGAGGUUGCGGGUUCAAUCCCUGGCCUCGCUCAGUGGGUUAAGGAUCCAGCGUUGCUGUGAGCUGUGGUGUGGGUCGCAGACGUGGCUCGGAUCCUCUGUUGCUGUGGCUCUGGCGUAGGCCGGUGGCUACAGCUCCGAUGAGAACCCUAGCCUGGGAAUCUCCAUAUGCCAUGGGUGCGGCCCUAGAAAAGGCAAAAAGACAAAAAAAAAUGCAAAAAAAAAAAA